This 1332-nucleotide long non-coding RNA is filed under the name Equus caballus (horse). Its description in RNAcentral is "lncRNA (ENSECAG00000045223.1)". The record is from RNAcentral. Lineage: Eukaryota; Metazoa; Chordata; Mammalia; Perissodactyla; Equidae.
GAACAAUCCUGCUUCCCAGGCUCCAGGAAUUUGCUCCUUUCCUCUACCCCAUCCUGCUCCCUUGGGGCCUUGAUCACUUUUCCUACCCUGACCUGCAGAUAGCCUUGUGGCUAAUGACUUUGUGUGCUAAUCCUCCCCCAGGUGUGUCCCAGAGGGCACCUGGAGAGCGGUAGUGGGGUCUCAGUGGUAGGGGGAGCACUUUCCUACAUCACAAUGCCCAGGUGCUUUUGAGCACUUAAUCUGCCAGCUUGUCAGGCAGGUCUGUGGUCUCAGGUGCUGACUGACUGGCCAAAGAGUUAUGGGGAGGGGCAGCUAAACCCCUGUGGCCACAGUCAACCCCUUCAGAGCACAGGGGCUCUUCUUGGGACCUCUGAAGCCUGGACAAGAGGAGAGAAGCAGAGAAACCUGGGGGCACCAUUAUGAUGCGCCACGCAGUGGAGUUGCGUGGGUGGGAGAAGCACACGGCUCUGGGUCUUCAGAACUGGCCCCCAAGAUGAUGAAACAGGCGUGGAGAGGAUGAGUAACUUUCCCAAGGGCUGAACUAGCAUCUUAAUGCCUCACAUUUAAAAGCAUGGAACGUGAGCUUUGGAUCUGGCUCCCAGUUCAAGUGUUCUGACCAUCACUCUAGAUGCCUGGGCUCCCUGCUCACCCAGACCUUCCUGAGGAGUGACACCCCUCCUGCCUGCUGACCUCCAGGUUGUCUCCUCCUCCUAGGUCCUGGCUCCCUGGCUCUCCUUGCACACAGGUGGCUCUUCCUAACCCUCUAUCAUCAAAUGUCCUGCGUGAUUUGGGGCAUGUGGCAGAGAUUGCUGACAGAUCACCAAACCCAUUGCAUCUCCUUUCUGGGCACACAGCGAGGCUUCAUUUUCUAGCAUCACUUGCAGUUUAGUUGUGUCCUUGGGAAUGAAUUCUGGCCAAUGGCACGUGAGGUGGUAUGCGCCACUUCCAGGCCUCACCAUAAAGAUGUCCCAGGUAGAAGCCUCCGUGUCAGCAAAUUUUGAUUCACGUUGCAGAGAUUAGAUUUGAAGCUCAGAAAGACCUUGCUUGAUUGGACAAAGAGGCGCAGUGCACUGCCGGCAGAGGCCUUCCUCUGUGCUGUCUCUAGCAACUUUCUGUUGCCCCGCCCUGGGCUGAGAACAGGCGGAAGUCUCCAUGGACUGUGUCUGUGGGUCUGGGGUCCUUCUGCUUCUACUGCUCUCUGCUCCCUCCUGGGAGGUGUCUUCAGCGAGGCACGUGCUCCAGCUGAAGCCAUCUCAGUCUAAACCGAGUUAGAAGGAGUGUCAUACUAGCUGAAGAGGCUGAGUCAAGUGUUCAUCAAGCCGUAAAUGAACA